This 240-nucleotide ribosomal RNA is filed under the name Mycolicibacterium gadium. Its description in RNAcentral is "partial 23S ribosomal RNA". It matches the Rfam family "Bacterial large subunit ribosomal RNA", at positions 559 to 772 of the family's 2925-position model. Lineage: Bacteria; Bacillati; Actinomycetota; Actinomycetes; Mycobacteriales; Mycobacteriaceae. The record is from RNAcentral.
UGUGCCUACAAUCCGUCAGAGCCCUCGCUUUAUGUGUGGGGUGAUGGCGUGCCUUUUGAAGAAUGAGCCUGCGAGUCAGGGACAUGUCGCGAGGUUAACCCGGGUGGGGUAGCCGCAGCGAAAGCGAGUCUGAAUAGGGCGUAUCCAAUUCAUAGGAAUUGGUGUAGUGGUGUGUUCUGGACCCGAAGCGGAGUGAUCUACCCAUGGCCAGGGUGAAGCAGCAGUAAGAUGUUGUGGAGG